This 494-nucleotide ribosomal RNA is filed under the name uncultured bacterium. Its description in RNAcentral is "partial 16S ribosomal RNA". It matches the Rfam family "Bacterial small subunit ribosomal RNA", at positions 28 to 523 of the family's 1533-position model. The record is from RNAcentral.
GAUGAACGCUAGCGGCAGGCCUAACACAUGCAAGUCGAGGGGUAGAACACUUCGGUGUUUGAGACCGGCGCACGGGUGCGUAACGCGUAUGCAAUCUGCCUUACACUAAGGGAUGGCCCAGAGAAAUUUGGAUUAAUACCUUAUAGUAUAUUGAUGUGGCAUCACAUUAUUAUUAAAGAUUUAUUGGUUUAAGAUGAGCAUGCGUCCCAUUAGCUAGUUGGUAUGGUAACGGCAUACCAAGGCUAGGAUGGGUAGGGGUCCUGAGAGGGAGAUCCCCCACACUGGUACUGAGACACGGACCAGACUCCUACGGGAGGCAGCAGUGAGGAAUAUUGGUCAAUGGGCGCAAGCCUGAACCAGCCAUGCCGCGUGCAGGAUGAAGCAUCUAUGGUGUGUAAACUGCUUUUGUACGGGAAGAAACACCUCUACGUGUAGAGGCUUGACGGUACCGUAAGAAUAAGGAUCGGCUAACUCCGUGCCAGCCGCCGCCGUAA